Molecule: non-coding RNA, 667 nt
Organism: Microcebus murinus (gray mouse lemur)
Lineage: Eukaryota; Metazoa; Chordata; Mammalia; Primates; Cheirogaleidae
Source: RefSeq, a predicted model, not a curated record
GGGCAACAGAGUGAGACUCUGUCUCAAAAAAAAAGAGAAAUGAAUGAGUAGACUAAACAGAAGGCAGGGUGAAGUCACUCUGGUGGAGUUUUGUGACAUAGUCACAAGAGGACACGUGUGGAUUCCACACGACGGGGCCACGGGGGAGGGAAGGUGGCAGGAGAUGCGCCCCGAGUGCCCGCUGGUCACCCUAGCAAGUCCGGCUCUGUUCUGGAGUCAGGGCCAGCAGCGGGCCUCGGGCACACCGCUCUGGGAGAAUGUCAGGAGGGUCACAGGUGCCCCGGCCAACUUGUGUCUUAAAGAGAUCUACAAGACCAGGUUGAGCACUAGGAAGAGCCGUCACUGUCCUGGACCGCCCGGAGGUCGUCAGAUAAAGGGGAGGGGACUUCUCCAUGUGGCGGCGAGUACAGAACUAGUGGGUCCAGACAGAAAUCAUAAAGCGACAGAUUCCAGUACCCAACGGGGCAAAGUCUACACCUGCUGUGCAAGGUUCUUCCUGUCUGUGCUGGUGGGGGAAGCGUGUGGGAAGAGGAGAAGAGUGGAGAGCAAGGGAACGUGCUUCUGUCUCGUCAAGCUUAGUUUCCUCUUACGUGGACAACAUUGAUUGUGUGGUUUUUUUGUUUUCUUGGUUUUUUUUUAAUUAAAAAAAACCUGGUUAAAUGUCUAG